AUUGAACGCUGGCGGCAUGCUUUACACAUGCAAGUCGAACGGUAACAGCACUUCGGUGGCUGACGAGUGGCGAACGGGUGAGUAAUACAUCGGAACGUGCCUAGUAGUGGGGGAUAACUGCUCGAAAGAGUAGCUAAUACCGCAUGAGAUCUAAGGAUGAAAGCAGGGGACCUUCGGGCCUUGCGCUACUAGAGCGGCUGAUGGCAGAUUAGGUAGUUGGUGGGAUAAAAGCUUACCAAGCCGACGAUCUGUAGCUGGUCUGAGAGGACGACCAGCCACACUGGGACUGAGACACGGCCCAGACUCCUACGGGAGGCAGCAGUGGGGAAUUUUGGACAAUGGGCGCAAGCCUGAUCCAGCAAUGCCGCGUGCAGGAUGAAGGCCUUCGGGUUGUAAACUGCUUUUGUACGGAACGAAAAGCCCUCUUCUAAUACAGGAGGGUCAUGACGGUACCGUAAGAAUAAGCACCGGCUAACUACGUG
RNAcentral lists this ribosomal RNA (482 nucleotides) under uncultured bacterium. Its description in RNAcentral is "partial 16S ribosomal RNA". It matches the Rfam family "Bacterial small subunit ribosomal RNA", at positions 30 to 507 of the family's 1533-position model. The record is from RNAcentral.